GAGCUGAGGCUCCAGCUACCGUGGAUGGAAGCAAUUCCUGAGAUCAGAGACCUGCCCCCAGGAGCAUGCGAGGAGGAGGAGAUGCAGGAGCAGACCCGAACCCAGCCUGCAGCCUGGCCCCCCACACCUACCUCGGACCCACAGACCCACCGGGAAACUCACACCGACAGGUGGCCACGGGCCGCCUUCACGUCCAAAGCCCCGUGUCUG
Long non-coding RNA from Neomonachus schauinslandi (Hawaiian monk seal), 210 nucleotides. RefSeq lists it as uncharacterized. The record is from RefSeq and is a predicted model, not a curated record. Lineage: Eukaryota; Metazoa; Chordata; Mammalia; Carnivora; Phocidae. The transcript is spliced from 3 exons.